UGAGGAGAAAGUACAAGGUCAGGAAGAAACAGAAACACUCAGCAGAAUGUCAAAGCGGUGCCCAGAAUGUCAUUGCCAUGCCUAUCAAGUGUGACCUGAUCAAAAAGGAGGGGAUUCUGUCCAUGUUCACAGCAAUCAAAAAGCACUUAUGCACCAACACUGGCUUAGCCACAGUCACCGAUAAGUGGAAAAACCAGGACUGGAAGAAGCUUCUGACUUUAGAUUUAACAAAUCUGAAGGGAUCUAAUAUAUUCUGACACCCCUGCAAACAUCAAACUGAUUUGAAUCUAAAUGGAAGGAACUAUAACCCAUUAAAGACAGACUGGUGUCUGGUGUUGGUGUUUCCAUCUCUGUUAUUUGUCACAUAUAAAGAGAUGAAAGAUGCAGAAAGAAAAAUAAAUUAUGCAUCAUUUACAGAUCUAUACUGAAGGCUUGAAGUGAAGCACGUUGCUCUAGAUCAGUGUUUUUGGUGUGGUGCAGAUUUCCAUAAGUUGUAGUUAUGACACUUUUGCAUCCAGCUGGUGUUGCAUAGGAGGAGUGGACACAAAGGGAGUAAUGAUUUAUAAGUGGCAAUUUCUCACUGUUCAACAAAUAUUAGCACACACACACAUUGUUUCUGUGCAGGUUGUCAAGCAGUGUGUUUGCUGGCUAAAGAUCCUGCUGCUGUAUUGCCAUGGAGAGAAAAGAAUGUGAGAUAGUUUCAUUCAGAGAUGGAGAAAUAUGUAGGAAAGAGGAUGGGAGGCAUAAGAGAUGUUAUAUUUAAAAGUAACCACUCUCAGUGGCACUUGAUAAACUGGAGAAUUUAAAGCUCAUUUAAUGUUUUACUUCAUUUUGUAGUUUUCUGUAAAAUGUGUUUUUACUGAAUCUGUA
Neolamprologus brichardi is the source of this 870-nucleotide non-coding RNA. Lineage: Eukaryota; Metazoa; Chordata; Actinopteri; Cichliformes; Cichlidae. The record is from RefSeq and is a predicted model, not a curated record.